RNAcentral lists this ribosomal RNA (2928 nucleotides) under Salmonella enterica subsp. diarizonae. Its description in RNAcentral is "bacterial LSU rRNA". It matches the Rfam family "Bacterial large subunit ribosomal RNA". Lineage: Bacteria; Pseudomonadati; Pseudomonadota; Gammaproteobacteria; Enterobacterales; Enterobacteriaceae. The record is from RNAcentral.
GGGUUGUGAGGUUAAGCGACCAAGCGUACACGGUGGAUGCCCUGGCAGUCAGAGGCGAUGAAGGACGUGCUAAUCUGCGAAAAGCGCCGGUAAGGUGAUAUGAACCGUUAUAACCGGCGAUGUCCGAAUGGGGAAACCCAGUGUGACUCGUCACACUAUCAUUAACUGAAUCCAUAGGUUAAUGAGGCGAACCGGGGGAACUGAAACAUCUAAGUACCCCGAGGAAAAGAAAUCAACCGAGAUUCCCCCAGUAGCGGCGAGCGAACGGGGAGGAGCCCAGAGCCUGAAUCAGCAUGUGUGUUAGUGGAAGCGUCUGGAAAGGCGCGCGAUACAGGGUGAGAGCCCCGUACACAAAAGCGCAUAUGCUGUGAGCUCGAUGAGUAGGGCGGGACACGUGGUAUCCUGUCUGAAUAUGGGGGGACCAUCCUCCAAGGCUAAAUACUCCUGACUGACCGAUAGUGAACCAGUACCGUGAGGGAAAGGCGAAAAGAACCCCGGCGAGGGGAGUGAAACAGAACCUGAAACCGUGUACGUACAAGCAGUGGGAGCCUCUCUUUAUGGGGGGUGACUGCGUACCUUUUGUAUAAUGGGUCAGCGACUUAUAUUCUGUAGCAAGGUUAACCGCAUAGGGGAGCCGAAGGGAAACCGAGUCUUAAUUGGGCGUUAAGUUGCAGGGUAUAGACCCGAAACCCGGUGAUCUAGCCAUGGGCAGGUUGAAGGUUGGGUAACACUAACUGGAGGACCGAACCGACUAAUGUUGAAAAAUUAGCGGAUGACCUGUGGCUGGGGGUGAAAGGCCAAUCAAACCGGGAGAUAGCUGGUUCUCCCCGAAAGCUAUUUAGGUAGCGCCUCGUGAAUUCAUCUCCGGGGGUAGAGCACUGUUUCGGCUAGGGGGCCAUCCCGGCUUACCAACCCGAUGCAAACUGCGAAUACCGGAGAAUGUUAUCACGGGAGACACACGGCGGGUGCUAACGUCCGUCGUGAAGAGGGAAACAACCCAGACCGCCAGCUAAGGUCCCAAAGUCAUGGUUAAGUGGGAAACGAUGUGGGAAGGCCCAGACAGCCAGGAUGUUGGCUUAGAAGCAGCCAUCAUUUAAAGAAAGCGUAAUAGCUCACUGGUCGAGUCGGCCUGCGCGGAAGAUGUAACGGGGCUAAACCAUGCACCGAAGCUGCGGCAGCGACACUUUAGUGUUGUUGGGUAGGGGAGCGUUCUGUAAGCCGUUGAAGGUGUCCUGUGAGGGGUGCUGGAGGUAUCAGAAGUGCGAAUGCUGACAUAAGUAACGAUAAAGCGGGUGAAAAGCCCGCUCGCCGGAAGACCAAGGGUUCCUGUCCAACGUUAAUCGGGGCAGGGUGAGUCGACCCCUAAGGCGAGGCCGAAAGGCGUAGUCGAUGGGAAACGGGUUAAUAUUCCCGUACUUGGUGUUACUGCGAAGGGGGGACGGAGAAGGCUAUGUUGGCCGGGCGACGGUAGUCCCGGUUUAAGCGUGUAGGCUGGUUUUCCAGGCAAAUCCGGAAAAUCAAGGCUGAGGCGUGAUGACGAGGCACCACGGUGCUGAAGCAACAAAUGCCCUGCUUCCAGGAAAAGCCUCUAAGCAUCAGGUAACAUCAAAUCGUACCCCAAACCGACACAGGUGGUCAGGUAGAGAAUACCAAGGCGCUUGAGAGAACUCGGGUGAAGGAACUAGGCAAAAUGGUGCCGUAACUUCGGGAGAAGGCACGCUGACACGUAGGUGAAGUGAUUUACUCAUGGAGCUGAAGUCAGUCGAAGAUACCAGCUGGCUGCAACUGUUUAUUAAAAACACAGCACUGUGCAAACACGAAAGUGGACGUAUACGGUGUGACGCCUGCCCGGUGCCGGAAGGUUAAUUGAUGGGGUCAGCGCAAGCGAAGCUCCUGAUCGAAGCCCCGGUAAACGGCGGCCGUAACUAUAACGGUCCUAAGGUAGCGAAAUUCCUUGUCGGGUAAGUUCCGACCUGCACGAAUGGCGUAAUGAUGGCCAGGCUGUCUCCACCCGAGACUCAGUGAAAUUGAACUCGCUGUGAAGAUGCAGUGUACCCGCGGCAAGACGGAAAGACCCCGUGAACCUUUACUAUAGCUUGACACUGAACAUUGAGCCUUGAUGUGUAGGAUAGGUGGGAGGCUUUGAAGCGUGGACGCCAGUCUGCGUGGAGCCGACCUUGAAAUACCACCCUUUAAUGUUUGAUGUUCUAACGUGGACCCGUAAUCCGGGUUGCGGACAGUGUCUGGUGGGUAGUUUGACUGGGGCGGUCUCCUCCUAAAGAGUAACGGAGGAGCACGAAGGUUGGCUAAUCCUGGUCGGACAUCAGGAGGUUAGUGCAAUGGCAUAAGCCAGCUUGACUGCGAGCGUGACGGCGCGAGCAGGUGCGAAAGCAGGUCAUAGUGAUCCGGUGGUUCUGAAUGGAAGGGCCAUCGCUCAACGGAUAAAAGGUACUCCGGGGAUAACAGGCUGAUACCGCCCAAGAGUUCAUAUCGACGGCGGUGUUUGGCACCUCGAUGUCGGCUCAUCACAUCCUGGGGCUGAAGUAGGUCCCAAGGGUAUGGCUGUUCGCCAUUUAAAGUGGUACGCGAGCUGGGUUUAGAACGUCGUGAGACAGUUCGGUCCCUAUCUGCCGUGGGCGCUGGAGAAUUGAGGGGGGCUGCUCCUAGUACGAGAGGACCGGAGUGGACGCAUCACUGGUGUUCGGGUUGUCAUGCCAAUGGCACUGCCCGGUAGCUAAAUGCGGAAAAGAUAAGUGCUGAAAGCAUCUAAGCACGAAACUUGCCCCGAGAUGAGUUCUCCCUGAGACUUUGAGUCUCCUGAAGGAACGUUAAAGACGAUGACGUUGAUAGGCCGGGUGUGUAAGCGCAGCGAUGCGUUGAGCUAACCGGUACUAAUGAACCGUGAGGCUUAACCUUACAACGCCGAAG